UAGGGAAUCUUCCGCAAUGGACGAAAGUCUGACGGAGCAACGCCGCGUGAGUGAAGAAGGAUUUCGGUUCGUAAAACUCUGUUGUUAGGGAAGAAAAAAUGUAUAGUAACUAUAUACAAAAGAGACGGUACCUAACCAGAAAGCCACGGCUAACUACGUACCAGCAGCCGCGGUAAUACGUAGGUGGCAAGCGUUGUCCGGAAUUAUUGGGCGUAAAGCGCGCGCAGGUGGUUUAGAAAGUCUGAUGUGAAAGCCCACGGCUCAACCGUGGAGGGUCAUUGGAAACUAAUAAACUUGAGUGCAGGAGAGAAAAGUGGAAUUCCUAGUGUGGCGGUGAAAUGCGUAGAGAUUAGGAGGAACACCGGUGGCGAAAGCGGCUUUUUGGCCUGCAACUGACACUGAGGCGCGAAAGCGUGGGGAGCAAACAGG
RNAcentral lists this ribosomal RNA (429 nucleotides) under Verrucomicrobiota bacterium. Its description in RNAcentral is "Verrucomicrobia bacterium partial 16S ribosomal RNA". It matches the Rfam family "Bacterial small subunit ribosomal RNA", at positions 355 to 776 of the family's 1533-position model. The record is from RNAcentral. Lineage: Bacteria; Pseudomonadati; Verrucomicrobiota.